Molecule: ribosomal RNA, 446 nt
Filed under: uncultured Propionibacteriaceae bacterium
Lineage: Bacteria; Bacillati; Actinomycetota; Actinomycetes; Propionibacteriales; Propionibacteriaceae
Description: bacterial SSU rRNA
Rfam family: Bacterial small subunit ribosomal RNA
Source: RNAcentral
CCUACGGGUGGCAGCAGUGGGGAAUAUUGCACAAUGGGCGCAAGCCUGAUGCAGCAACGCCGCGUGCGGGAUGACGGCCUUCGGGUUGUAAACCGCUUUCAUCCAUGACGAAGCGAGAGUGACGGUAGUGGAAGAAGAAGCACCGGCUAACUACGUGCCAGCAGCCGCGGUGAUACGUAGGGUGCGAGCGUUGUCCGGAUUUAUUGGGGGUAAAGGGCUUGUAGGCGGUUUGUCGCGUGGGGAGUGAAAACCCAGGGCUUAACCCUGAGCCUGCUUCCGAUACGGGCAGACUUGAGGAAGGUAGGGGAGAUUGGAAUUCCUGGUGAAGCGGUGGAAUGCGUAGAUAUCAGGAGGAACACCAGUGGCGAAGGCGGAUCUCUGGACCUUUCCUGACGCUGAGAAGCGAAAGCGUGGGGAGCAAACAGGAUUAGAUACCCGAGUAGUCG